AAAGUUUUUUUUCUUGUGCCAAGAACUUUUAAGAUAUAAUGUCUUAGCAACUUUCAAAUAUACAGUACAGUAUUAUUAACUCUAAGGAUAUAUAUACCAUUGGUAUAUUUUUCGUAAGUUCCCCAGGUAGCCUGACACAGCACCUGUUGGCAGACCCUGGUUUGGGAAGUUACCUUGCAGCGGCCAGAUCUGAGUUACCCUUUUCCAAAUGCCAUUGUCUCACUUGACUCUUGCCUCACUCUUCUCUCCUUCCGGAAAUUCUCCUUUGGCUUCCAGGGGGCCCCUGUGAUAUGAUAAGCAAAUGAACUAAAGCCUGAAAAACCAUGUGAGUGGACUUGGAAUAGCAUCCUGCAGCCUCACCUGAGUCCUGGGACGACUGCAGCCCUCGUGGACAGCUUGCCUGCAAUCUCAUCACAGACCUUGAACCACAACCGCUCAGCUAAGCUACUUACAUAUCCCUGACCCACACAAACUAUGAAAUAAUAAAUUUUUGCUGUUUUAAGCUGUUAUAUUUGGGGGUAAUUUGUUAUGCAGCCAAAUAAUAACUCAUACAAAAGGAAAUAAGAUCCUAGAGUUAGUGCGGUGGAAUCACAUCAUUUGCACUUUUAGGUAAAUUCAACCAUACUCUGCAAAAGAGGGAGAGAGAACAAGUUACAGUGUUAACGAUUCUGCCUGCUACUCCAAUGAAAUAAGGGGAUGUGGUGAAAGAGGUAGAUCUGGUUUCAUUAGUCAGUCUCUGACCCAGUCCUGGGCAUCUCUCAUGGAGAAGAAAGUCUUAAUGCACAUUUUUAAAUAUCCAUGUUUUGUACAAAGUGGGAAGAAUAAGUUAAUUCACUGACUUGGGAUCUAUAUAUAACAUAGUCAAAAUGACCCUUGAAAUCCCUUAACUCAUCAGGACCCGAGCCCAGGACAUCCCCAAACCAAGAAUAGUACUGACUUUAGACCAGUGUAAGAGGGAGCCCAACCCUGGGACCCUGGCUUCAGAAGACCCUUCCAUGGCCCUCCUCCAAUCACACCUCCCACGGGCUAAGGAGUCCCCAAGGGAUGUGCCCUUCCAGAGCCUGUGCUCUGCCUCCCACUUCUAGACCAAUCUCAGGGGAUGAGAGACCCCCACAUCCCUGUCCAAAUGGCCCUGAGCUCACUUCCAGGGCCAGCAUAGGACUUUCCCCAGGUCCAGCUUUCUAAGGGUGGGUCAUAGCACUAAAGAGCCAUGCCAGGGCACAGGGAGACCAGGUGCAGCUGUUUAAAGGGAUGUGGGUAGAUUGUGUGUGCAAGCCGAGUGGCCUACACACGUGCACAGAGCCCCUCGCCACACAGACGGACCAGCAGCGGAAAACCAAGAGGGAAGCCCACGGACCCCAAGCUGGCUCUCCAAAUGCUGCCUCGUGCUGGUGUAUGACUCUGAGAAGUCUCACUUGACCUGUCCUUCCUGUCAAAUGAAUCAAAUGAAUAUUUGACGGGAAUAUUUGUCAAGGCAGGAAGACAAAAUAUAUUUCAUUAAACAGUGCAUUCACUCAAUUUGUAACUUUUACAUGUUUAGACAUAUUACAUAUGGAUGUCCAUUUGUACUCUAGCCCAGGGUCCCACAAAUGAUUGGGAUGCCCUGGCCCAGAGCUAACUUCUUCAUCUUUAUUUUGUUUCACUUUUUAGUUUUCGACUCUUUUUGCCUGAGAGAGUGGAGUCCAAGGCAUUAUUUGAGUGGGAGAGGAGAGCAAUGGGAUAAGGACAACUCCGUAUGACAGAUAAAGUAGCAUUACCUCCAUUUCACAUAUUGGAAAAGAGAGGCACAGAGCGACCUGAGAGUGCUAAGACCCCAGAUCUUCAAGCCCUCGUACUGUGACCCUGGAACCACAGCCACACGAGUUCAUGUGUGUGAAAGUAAAUUGAAAACUGUAAUGUGUUAUUCCAAUCAAAGGUGUUCCUUAGCACUC
Aethalodelphis obliquidens (Pacific white-sided dolphin) is the source of this 1931-nucleotide long non-coding RNA. RefSeq lists it as uncharacterized. The record is from RefSeq and is a predicted model, not a curated record. NCBI's taxonomy places the organism in Eukaryota, Metazoa, Chordata, Mammalia, Artiodactyla, Delphinidae. The transcript is spliced from 2 exons.